CCCCUUCUGCGGUCCCCUCCAUUGUCUGCGUGACAAAGUGGACGUAGAACUCCCCCAUUUCCUGCCCAGGGCGGGUGAGGACCCUGCACACACACGGUGUGUUUGUGAGCUGUGCAGAGUGGGGUCUCCCUGGCAAUGGCCACAGCCUCCAGGGGCGCUGACACCUCCCGUCUAACUGGUAGACAGUUUCUGCCUCUUCUUGUUUGGGGAUUGGAGAGGGAAGUGCGUCUGGAUGACUACUAAGAUGAGGAGGCUGAGGCCUAGUGCUCCUAGCGGGCUUGGUCAAGAGCAGGAGGCGGAGGUGGUGGAAGGCUGUUUCCCUGCGAGAAUACACUGCAUCGAACACAGAACAAAAAGACUCACUACAACGCUGCAGCCACAAUAGUGUGUGAUUUCAAGUCUUAAAAACCAGAAUCACUUUCUUCUCUGGACUGGAAGCAUAUUUAUUU
RNAcentral lists this long non-coding RNA (449 nucleotides) under Homo sapiens (human). Its description in RNAcentral is "non-protein coding LINC00908:6". The record is from RNAcentral. Lineage: Eukaryota; Metazoa; Chordata; Mammalia; Primates; Hominidae.